UGAUGUGAAAACAAUAAACAGCUUUAUUGGUUCAGCCUUCGUUUCACAUACUACUUUUUUAACUUCAGUCUUUGUUCUUUCCCACAGUUGCAUUCUGACAGAAGAGGCCCACAUGAGGAAGUGGGGAAAGAAGGAAAAAAAGAGGACCUUAUAGUCUUUUAGUCCUGUUUAUACCAGUGUCUGGAUUCCAAGUGCUCCUGGAGCAAAAAAGAUGGAGAACUGGAACAGGUUUUAAUGCUACAAAAUAGACAGCUCAGUGCUAGAACUCUGGAAUUUCUGACUGGGUCCUUGGCACUCUUGAAACUCUCCAGGCCACAGUUUGUUGCCAGUGGCUCAGAAGAACUACAGAGUAAACAUGCCUUUCAUUAAAGACCAAAAGAGUAUAAUAUCAAGGAAGCAGAGGCCCAGAAGGCAGGCUGCCAUAUCAGCUCUUUCACUAAAAGCAAAUCUAACUCGUGUGCUGAUAUGAGGCAAAAGUUCCAGCAGAACAUGAAGAAACAGCUUGUUCUUUAUGUGACACCCUCAUGAGCCUUGAGAGGUAGGAAAAGACUCUUUUCCUGUGUACUCUUAAAACACAACCCACCUUACUGCUGACCAGAUUUAGGACUUGUCUUCAGGCCCUUUAAAGAUGCAUUUAUUUGUCUAGGCAUUCAAAUGAGAAUACAGGGAUGAUGAUAGACAAUUUUGUGACUGCAUACAAAAAUAUAUUACAGGU
RNAcentral lists this long non-coding RNA (715 nucleotides) under Manacus vitellinus (golden-collared manakin). RNAcentral's name for it is "lncRNA (ENSMVIG00005006002.1)". The record is from RNAcentral. Lineage: Eukaryota; Metazoa; Chordata; Aves; Passeriformes; Pipridae.